Prosopis cineraria is the source of this 7477-nucleotide RNA transcript. RefSeq lists it as uncharacterized. The record is from RefSeq and is a predicted model, not a curated record. The transcript has 4 exons. NCBI's taxonomy places the organism in Eukaryota, Viridiplantae, Streptophyta, Magnoliopsida, Fabales, Fabaceae.
UCCUCCUUCCUUCAUUCGUGUGCUUUCACUCGACUCCCUCAUUUUCCACUUGACUUCUUCUCUAGCCGUCAAAGCUUUUCUUCUUCGUUCAAAAUCAAAAUGGUCAAAGCCACCGCUGGCUUCCACAGUCACGAUCACUCUCGCUGUGAAAGCCACUAUCGGAUCUCUCUUCCUCGAAGAUCAGUAGAUCUCUUCUCUUGGAAGCUUCGUCCUUCAUUUUGCAUCCAAUCUGCGUAGAUACGUGCAUAAAAGGAUAAUCCAAGAAGUUGAGUGCCUCUUCGAGUCCAACUUUGUCGAGGAUCUAACUUCCCUUGCCUUCCUGUUAGCUGACGUCAUCUUUGCCGAUGGUAGUCCCAACUGUUACCCUCUCUUGAAUAUCGCCAACGCUCUUUGGAAAUGUUAUGGACAUGAUUUUCAUAUAGGAACUCCCAAGGUGUGUCUGUUUCUGGUAACGAUAUUGUCUACCUCCUUACUUAUUCUUACUGUUUCGUAUCGUGACAUCUAUCAUCCAAUUUUACCAUCUGACUCAAAGUUCCCGAGUUUGAACCUAUUAGUGUGUGUGGGUGUGAGUGUUCACUAUUUGGAUUCUAGAUUCUGCUUUGUUGUUGAAGCUCUAUUUUGGUAGAUCAGACUUCAUAUACGUAUUCUACUCUUUGAAGUGCUUUGUGUUUCAUUGAGUCGGAGUUUUUGUCUUUCUUCAUUCAAGGUUGAAAGGGCUGAGAAUAGCUUCACCACAAAUUAUUCCGUUAAGUUUUAGUGUAGGAAUUGGCUGGCUGUGCAUAAAUACAAAUGGAUAAUCAACAAACAAGUCAUUUGCCGAGUGAGAAAUUCACAUGGAGAAUUGAAAACUCCUCUAGGUUAAACUUUGAGAAGUUCUAUUCCAAGACUUUCAUCAUGGGCGAGUAUCCAUGGAGAAUUCUCAUAUGUCCUAAAGGGAACAAUGUGGACUACUUGUCUUUAUAUUUGGAUGCUGUGGAUUCCACGAGUUUACCUUCUGGUUGGUCCAGAUAUGCAUGUUUCAGCUUGGCUGUAAUUACGGCCGAAGAAUGAAUCAUGUCACUAGAGCUGAAUUCUCCUGACCAUAAGUAUUUCAAUCCACUGUACAAAGUUAGCAAGUGAAAUAAGACGUGUUAAAUGUCAGCCCAUUUUCUGCCCUUAAAGUCCUAGCCAUUUUUUUUUGACCAUCCUUUCUCGAUUCAAAGUUCAAUUCAAAUAUCGAUAUUGCUUGUUUGACUUGCGCUUUUAAUUGGUGCUCGUGCAAAACAGAGGUUUUAGAAGUCUCUAGAAAUACAUUUGAUGUAUUCUGAUCGACGCUAGUUGUCAUGAUUCCAUCCUAUGGUUUGUUGGUAUUUUAGUGUUGCGGUGCUGCUGCUCUGGCACUUUGACCGUGGAUGCCGUCAGUGCUGAUGGUGUGUUUCUUUUCCAGGAAACUUCGCUCACUGCCAAACUAAAUAACCCUUUCUACCUAAAUCGCUUCUAUCAUGACUCACCGUUUCUUGAUGCACUUUUUGAAGAUUAAAGAUGUAACACACAAGAACUUUUUUUGGGUGAUGAGCUGCUCUUCGACCUCUUUCACUAUUGAUGUCGUUGGUGCCUAUCAUGGGUCUUUUGUCCUAGAAAGUUUGCUUAUUGCUAAACUUUCAAAACCUUUCAUUCAUGAUCGCCACUGGUUUAUGGGUUCUAUCGUGAGUGAUCUUUGUCUCUUGCAAUUUCCGAAGCUGAAAGAAAUGGAUACAAGAAUGGUAGAUUUUGGGGCAUCCUUAAAUUCAGCAGAAGUUUUUGGAAUACCAACAAUUUCUGACUUAAGGAAUGGUCAAUCCUUUAAAGAAGGUAUGAAAUUUUUAUUUAAAUUUAUUCCUCAUUUUUAAUGCAUCUAUCAUAUAAAGCAGUUUCUCUAACAACAAUAGAAAACAACUCCAUCCACUACAUAUUGACAAACAACAACCUUUUCAUGUUAUAUGUGCACGCGCGCACAUUAUGAACUCCUUCUGUGAAACUGUCUGUCAGAUGCACUAGAUGAAACAUGAAUGAUUGUAACUUGGACAACCUAAGGAGAAUCAAUGGCUAGAGAAGUUACUAGGUCUAUGUAACUUAGUAAUGAAGAACAAGUGGAAUAUAACGUUGUUGGUUAGAGACGUCUAUUGUUAGGCAAAUGAGGCAAUUGCCUUAGGCUUCAAAAAUUUUUUCUUAUACUCUGUGUAAUUCAGCUCAUUAUUUUUCUUGUUAAGUGUUACUAUUAAUUACAUCUUUUCAUUAACAAUUCAUCGAUCGUCUUACAUUUCAUUGUAUCUAUCAUUCUCAUUCCAUAAUAUCAAUUAGCCAUUCAGAGAGGUAACAUUAACAUACUACCGCAAUAAAUAGAAUGGAUGGGACCACUUUGUUAGCAUCUAACUCUCUCUUCCUUUCAAUUGAAUUACUGCUAUCAUCAUUUUUUUAAAAGUAAAUAUUACUAUGGUGCUCAAACUUGUUGCAUUGUCACUCAUUUGCCAAAUAAUUUCCUCUUAUUGGAAUAUUUAGCUAGCUAUCUAAUUGAACUUAAAACAAAAAACACCAAUAAUAGAUUUAAGGUGGUGGAUACUUCAGGUGUAUUUGUUAUACUUUUACUGUUUAUAUUACUUUUUGUCUAAAAUUAUGAUUGUUUUUUAAAUUUUUUAUAGCAUUUAGAGUUGUAAAAAUGUCAGCUACAAAAUUUGAAUAUAGGCCUCUCAAAAUAAUUGUCUUAGGCCCUAGAACUUUUUCACAUGGCCCUAUUGUUGUUAGUUAAGUAAUUAUUGUAAGAUUUCAAUUAUCAAUAUAUAUGUAAAUAUAUUUACAUUUCUUGAAAUAAUAGCUACUUUUACUUACUUAAAUUGUCUGUCCAUUUUACUUUUUUUUUUUUUAAUUCUUCUACUUGUGCUAUAUAGAUGACUUUUUUUUUAACGGCACAGCAUAUAAUUCUGUGAAACAUCAAAGGUGUAGUGAAGUUGAUGCCACAAAUUAUUAAAAAAAAAAAAAAAAACAAACAAACAAAAGGCAAGAAAGAGAAAAAGCAACAUUUUCUUUGAUCUUAAAAAGUGUAUAAUAGUACGUUAGAAUUGUGUGAGGCUUUAAUUAGAAAUAGAAAAUAAAUAUUUAGUGGAUCACAUUCAAAAGCAUUGAACAUGUGCGAACUACAAAGCUAGGGAAGAUAAAGUUAGAGCAGAUGCACAUGCAUGCAUGUUGUGUUACCUACAACCUUUUCUUUGAACAUUAAUUAGUAGGUGUUUGAAUGUGUUCUUUGAAGUGGGUUUUUAUUAAUCUUACAUAAUAAUGAGAUUUGUUUCGGUAUCUAGUGUAUAAUAAGUAGGAGUGUACAAUGUGAAGUGCCAUCAACCAUGGGUCAAAACAAUGCGAAGUUUGUGUAUAUAUGAUUUAGAGUGUAUUGUUCAACUGACUAUUAGACCCUUAUUUAUAGCUGAGACAGGUCAAAGGACAUGUUGCUCCGAUUACUUAACUAUUUCUUAAAUUCUUUUAGUUGCAACCAAACCCAAACAUGUACACACCAAUUUCACGAACUGGUUAUUUUUAAUGUAUUCUCUAAUCAUGUAAGUUUUGUUAGGAACUAUUAAUAGGUUUAUUUAGAAUAUUUGUUUUGUCUAUCUGUGCAUUUAUGGUGGCAUUUUAUAUUCUGUAAACUAUAUAAUGCAAAGUGUGUUGCGGAAAGUACUUGAUAUUAAUUUAUAUAUAGAUCUUAAGUGAUUAUUUGUUUUGGUUGACAUGAAUGUGGUAAUGCUUUUAUCAAUAAGAGUGUUAGGAUUUUGGAAGGACCCAUAUAAUAAAGGUUCUAUUAGAAGUCAGCAGAGGGCUUCUAAUGAUAUUCAUUUAUUCGAGUUGAGGUUAGUUGUAGUAUUGAGUUUUUUUGUGUCUAAUUUAUUACUCAAUGUAAGUGAUUUAUCUGUUAUGUGUGAUAUUUGGGUUAAUUUUUUUAUAGUAUAGUCUUUGCAUGUAGGAAAAGAAAAGUUAGUUAUAGUGAUGAACAUAUAGACAAUUAUCAUAAGUUGCUAGGUUUUUUUAAUUUAAAGUUUUUAUGGUUUUUUUUAGUGUUACUGACAAAUAGUUUUUGUGUUUUUAUGGUACACUAUGGUACAAGAAGGCAAAAGAAAUUAUGAGUGUUGAAUUCUAUUGAGCCGUUGUCAAUGUAUGAAGACAUAAUAGUCGCUGAAUCUAGUAUAGUUCAAGGUUGUGACAUUAUUAUUAAUGAAUCAAGGUGGUAGUUUGUUAUUUUUGAUAUUGAAUGUUUCUAUAUUUUUUGAACCUUUGGCGUGGCUGAAUUAUGCCAUUUUUCUUUUUUCUUUUCAUGUGUAAGAAUGUUGUGAAAGAUAUUGGUCAACCUAUAAAAAGGACUUAAAGAAGGCCUUUUAAAUGUGGCAAGAUUUUUGUGUAAUUUCUUCUGAUGUUGCCUUUUGUAAGAAAUUUUAUUUCUAUUUUUUGUAAUUUAUGAAAGGAGGAGUGUUAUUGUUUGACGUUAAUUUUUAUUUAAUAAUUAGUCAUGGUUUGCUUUUUCAGCAUUUCCAAUGGUCAUAUAUUAGAGCCUUACAUAAAAGAUAAUAUCAGACAAUCUUUUUUUUUGAUAUAAUGAUUGUAUACCUUUCUUUAAUGAGUUAUUUAUAGUAAUUACGUUUUUUAAUAGCUUUGCUAAUGUUGUGAUAAUUGAAUUAAUUUGUAGGAUAUGUUGAUGAAGGAGAUCCAAUUUUUUGUUGUGGUGAAUGUAGUGUUUUGAUGUGGUAUCAUGAAAGGGUUAAACAUGGUUUGUCUGCCAAAUCAUUGCAAUUUGCCCUUUGUUGUUUACAAGGAAAAAAAAAGUUGCCACUUUAGUUGGAGCCACCUAUGUAGUUAAAGCAUUUGUUUUUUGACCAUGAUUCAAGUGAUUCUAUGAAUUUUAUAAAGAAUAUAAGAUGUUAUAAUAAUAUGUUUUCUUUUACUUUGAUGGGAGGCAAAAUAAAGAGUCAUGAUGGACUUAGUCCAUAUUCCUUUACAUUGGAUGGACAAAAUUAUCAACGUAUUGGAAGUCUUCUACUUGAGAGUGGAACUACUCCUGUGUAUUCUCAACUUUAUGUGGUUGACACUAAGAAUGAGAUUGAUAAUCUCAUAGCUAUAGUGAGCUACAAGUAUCUUUUAAGUGGAUAUAUUUAUAAUCAUUUGAAGUGGAUAUAUUAUUUUUCUUUUGUAAUUAUGUUCUUUAUUUUAAUUUGUAGGGUACGCGAUAAAGAGGAUCAUGUAGAUCCAAUUAUUGCAGAGAAACUGAUGUCUUUGUUUGACAAUGUUAAUGUAUUGGUGCAGCUUUACAAAUAUGCUUCUAACAUUGUUACAACCAGUUAUCAAGAUGAUAUUAAAAUACUGUUAUUGAGUGAAAGAUCAGUUGGUCGGAGGAAUUAUGUGUACCUAUGUUUUCUGAUAUUACUGCCCUGAUAAUUGGAGAAUUUGACCAUUCUUAUCAUCUGAGGGAUAUUAUUGUGAGGAAACAGUUUGGUGAAUUUAGGAAAAUUCAUGAGCUUCAUAUGUCGUACUUACCUCUUCAGUUCACAAUUUUGUUUCCAUUUGGUAAUAGAGGGUAUGAAUCUAAUAUUGAGUAUGCAUAUCAAUCUGAGCAUGAAAGUGUGAAGAAAAAAAUGGUUUCUUGAAAAUUACCAAGAUGUUAUGGCUAUUGCUCAAGCUAAAGGUCACCUUGAUUUAUUUUUGACAUUCACAUGUAACCCUGCUUGGCCUAAAUUAAAACAAAUUUGUCAAAUAUAUUCUUCUCUAGCAUCUUGUCGACCAAAUUACAUCGCGAGGAUUUUUUGUUUGAAAUUGCAAUCAUUACUCAAGGUCAUAAAAGAUAAAGAGGCUUUUGGGAUUGUUGAGGCGGGUAACACUACAAACUUGUAAGCUUUUGUCACCCUGAACAAUAUGGGUGUUACUUGAUUAAUUAUGAUAUUAUAUUGUUUGAACUUUGAUUUCUUUUUGUGUUGAUAUCAUUAAAGAUUUUGUUCUUUCCUUUCUUAAUAGUAGUAUUGAGUUUCAAAAGAGAGGCCUCCCUCAUGCUUAUAUUAUACUAUGGCUUGCGAAUAAAGAUAAGAUAAUAACAGCUGAUGCAAUUGAUAAGAUGAUAUUUGCAGAGAUACCUGAUCCUGAUCAGAACCCAGUUUUGCAUGAACUUAUGAAAGAUCAUAUGCUUCAUGGACCAUGUGGCGGUUCUAAUCUUAAGUCUCCUUGUAUGAAAGAUGGAAAAUGUUGUAAAUAUUACGUAAAAAAAUUUCAUUCUAAGACAAUUGUUGAUAAAGAGGGGUAUCGUACUUAUAAGAGAAGGGAUAAUGGUAUAUCAAUAUUGAGGAAAGGAGUUCCUUUAGACAAUCAUUUAUGGUCCCAUAUAAUCCUUACCUUUUACUAAAAUUCCAAUGUCAUUUAAAUGUGGAAAAGACAAAUUAUACUUAUUCUGUUAGGUUUCUUUUCAAAUAUGUUAGUAAAGGGAAUGAUAGAGUUAUUGCUUCUUUUUAUUGAGGGAAUCAGAACAAUGUUCCUAAUGGUUUUCAAGAUGAGAUCAAGCAAUACCGUGAUUGUUGUUAUGUCUCAUCUGGUGAGGGAGCUAGGUGAAUAUUCAGCCUUAAUAUUCAAUACAAGUACCCUUCUGUCAAAAGGCUUACAUUUCAUUUGCCUGACUAGCAACCUGUUUUCUAUUCUAAUUUUUCUAAACUCUAGUCUAUAUUAGGAAGCCCUACUAUUGGGGAGUCCAAGUUGAUUGCUUGGAUGAAGAAUAAUUUUGAUAAUAAAAAUGGGCGUGAUUUGACAUAUGCUGAAUUUUCAUCUAGGUUUGUUUAUAAAGCAAAAAGGGAUCGACUUUGGAAGUAUCGAUAAAGAGGAAUUAAGAUUGAUCAAUUAACUAUUCAUCCUGGUAAUGGGGAAUUUUAUUUUUUGCAAGUAAUGCUUAAUAAGGUUGAAGGUGAUUCCUCCUUUGAAGCCCUUCGAACUAUCAAUAAUAUUGUGCAUCCUACUUAUAGAUCAACAUGUUAUGCAAUGAGAUUGGUAGAUGAUGAUCGAAAAUUUGUUGAUGCUAGGCUACAUCAAUGUUGGUUUGUGUUUUCUAACCUGGUGUUUUAAUUUUUCCCUCCAGGAAUUAAAUUCUCAUUAUUGGAAAAAGAGAACGAAGCUUUAAAAGUUAUAAACAAUUUCCUUUGCAACAAUGGAAGAUUAUUGGGUGAUUACCCUGAAUUCUUAGCUCCUUUUGACAAUGGUCCUUUUGACUUUGCUAAUACUUUGAUUUUGGAAGAAUUAAAUGUUGAUAGGCAAUUUCUCUAUUUACAGGUAAGUGAAUUAAUUUCCAAGUUGACAACAGAACAAUAUUAUAUUUUCCAUCAUGGCAUUGAUAGUUUGUCAAGUCAAGAUGCAAAAUUUUUCUUUGUUUAUGGUUUUGGUGGCAUUGGGAAAACAUAUUUGUGGAAUUGUUUGAGUACUUAUUUGAAAUCUCAAGGUGAAAUUGUGUUAA